GCCUCAUCCCAGGUAGGGAUGAACUAAGGAUUUCCCACAAGACAAUACAAUUCAAAGCUGAUAGAACAGACAACUGAAACAGGCACAAGGGGAAGCUAACACACAGAGGAGGCCAAGGAACAGAGCAAGUUCUUGUGAGGAAAAAUAUGACUGACAGAGCUGAGCAGAGGCUUUCAGCUUACUGCCCCCAAAUGGCACCAUUCUCUUGAACCUGGGAAGGAGAAAGUUUUUGUUUUGAUCUCUCUGGAGUUCACAUAAGUAAUUACAAGACUUGUGAUAAAUGCUCCUUUCAAGUAUCCUCAGAACACAUGCAACAAGAAAAGCCUAAAAAAAAAAGUAAACCCUUGGGAUUCCUCUCACUACCUCCUCAAAGUUAUCCAUGGGCUCUAAAAUUUGUGACUUACUUUUUGUCCCUCUCUCCUUUCCCACACAGCAGAACUCAGUACAGCCUUUUGCCUUCUUAAUCAAAGUUGGAAGUAGACCAACAAGAACAGACUUUUCUGAUGGCACAGCACUGCUCACAGCAGAGAGUGAUUUGACAAAUGAAACCUAAGCAAGGAUCUGGAUACCAAGGCUAUAUUGAAAUAUUAUAUGGAUUCUCAGAAAUGACCCAAGUCCCUUGAACAUCCUGGGGAAAUUCAUAACUGCCUUCACAUGAAACCAAGUAAAGCAAACGCCUGGAGCACUUCCAGAAAACACAGUUUACAGACUUUUUCAUGAGUGUUGAGGGAGAAAAGAAAUCGAAGUCAUGUCAAAGCUGAACCUACCUGCUUUUCAUAGGCAAGGAGCUGCUUCGAAAGCUGUUGUGUGGCAAGACACAUUUCAUUCUACAAACAAAAAUGACAUGUUAAUAGAAAUAAUCAAAGGUCCCCUG
Lonchura striata (white-rumped munia) is the source of this 874-nucleotide non-coding RNA. The record is from RefSeq and is a predicted model, not a curated record. NCBI's taxonomy places the organism in Eukaryota, Metazoa, Chordata, Aves, Passeriformes, Estrildidae.